AUUGAACGCUGGCGGCAUGCCUUACACAUGCAAGUCGAACGGCAGCAUGAUCUAGCUUGCUAGAUUGAUGGCGAGUGGCGAACGGGUGAGUAAUACAUCGGAACGUGCCCUGUAGUGGGGGAUACCUAGUCGAAAGAUUAGCUAAUACCGCAUACGACCUGAGGGUGAAAGUGGGGGACCGCAAGGCCUCAUGCUAUAGGAGCGGCCGAUGUCUGUUUAGCUAGUUGGUGAGGUAAAGGCUCACCAAGGCGACGAUCAGUAGCUGGUCUGAGAGGACGAUCAGCCACACUGGGACUGAGACACGGCCCAGACUCCUACGGGAGGCAGCAGGGGGGAAUUUUGGACAAGGGGCGAAAGCCUGAUCCAGCAAUGCCGCGGGGGUGAAGAAGGCCUUCGGGUUGUAAAGCACUUUUGUCGGGAAAGAAAUGGCUCUGGUUAAUACCUGGGGUCGAUGACGGUACCGGAAGAAUAAGGACCGGCUAACUACGU
This 489-nucleotide ribosomal RNA is filed under the name uncultured bacterium. RNAcentral describes it as "partial 16S ribosomal RNA". It matches the Rfam family "Bacterial small subunit ribosomal RNA", at positions 30 to 506 of the family's 1533-position model. The record is from RNAcentral.